Molecule: non-coding RNA, 309 nt
Filed under: Solanum tuberosum (potato)
Lineage: Eukaryota; Viridiplantae; Streptophyta; Magnoliopsida; Solanales; Solanaceae
Description: Bacterial large subunit ribosomal RNA
Rfam family: Bacterial large subunit ribosomal RNA
Source: Rfam by way of RNAcentral
ACUAUAGCUUCGCAAUGACAACCUUAAUCGAAUGUGUAGGAUAGGUGGAAGGUGGUGACACACAAUGACCAAUCCUAAAAGACCACUCUUUCGUCUAAGGAUCUCUAAUCGCCGCACCAAUCAUUCGGGGGAGGCGGGACACUGCGAGGUGGGUAGUCUAUAUGGGACGAAUGCCUCCUAAAGAAUAAUGGAGGUGUGCAAAGGUAGGCUCAAGCUAAGAUUCUGCUCGUGAGCGUAAUGUUAUAAACCUGCCUAAUUGUGAAACCGACAGGUCAAACAGAGACGAAAGUCGGGUGCACACUUCUGAAC